UCCCUAAGUGAACAUUUGAGACGAAAACGUGGGGGCUGAUGCAGCAGAGGAAUGUCCGAAAAAAACAAGCAACGAUGGACAACUACAUGGGGAACAAGACACUCACCCCCAGCAAUGCAUACCACUUACAAACUCUAUUCCAGAUUCUACAUUAUUUUUUAUGGAAUUUACCUCUUAUAUUUUGAUGCCAAAAAAUUAUUCUGGACUGAUAUUUUGCACUGUUUAGCUCAUUUUACACCGCUGACUGUGUUCAUGUGCCAUAAAAUAGAUUGCAGUCAACUGCACAAUUCUCUUAUGUUUUUCUUUUUCUUAACUGAAAUGUAUUCAUCUUUUGUAUAGGUUAAAUAGCUAAACAAUAACAAACCGAUUAAUCGAUUAAUCGAAAAAAUAAUCGACAGAUUAAUCGAUUAUGAAAAUAAUCGUUAGUUGCAGCCCUAGUUAGUAUAAAGUCCGUUUGUGUUGACUUUUCACACUUGUUCUUCCACAAAUGACACCAUCACACGAAUUUCCAUCGUCUAAUAAAAAUAUAAAUACCCAAACUAUGUUAGUUGUAGGUCACACUCAGCCCAUUUUCCCUUAGAGUUACAAAUGGGAUUUUGUUCUACAGGGGGCCUUGGGGUCUGAUCUUGAUUUAAACACACACACACACACACACACACACACACACACACACACACACACACACACACACACACACACACACACAACAGGAUGGAUUUGACUGAAACAUGGAGGCACACACAGACAGAAGCAUGGAUUUCUCUUUUUGGGCCUUAGGGACCGAUCUUAGCCUCUUAAUGAUGACAGCGCCAGAAAGAUGGAUUUACUGUGGUGAGGAGAGAUGGGAACGCCAGCCAUGGGAGACAUGUUCAACACACACAAACACAGCCAGCUGAAAAUGAUAAAAAUCAAUAAAUAGUUUUCCUCAAACGAAUCCAUCAUUCCAACAGGGAAGAGUAAAACUGUAAUACAGCCAAAAAAGAGAAAAGUCGGCUUGAAAAUGGGUCAAAUGCACCAAUAACAGAGACACACUCUUAGCCUCAUUACUAAAGCCUGAUUCAUGCUUCUCCAUCUGUGUCAGUGCGGACACACGCAACGUCCUUGCGGGCCUGCUGGAGAGCUCCACAAGGAUGGACGGAGUCGAGCUCUCUUUUCUAAACAUCCGUCCGUCGAGAUGGAGAAUGCAAGCUUGUGACUGGUCAGGACGCCGCUGUUGUCGACAGCGCCGCCAUUGCGCCCUCAAAAACAUAAAGAGAGCUGAUGAUAUCUAGCGGCAGACACGGAGCAGCUUGAAUACCUUGCGAAAAAAACUCUAAAAAUAUGAACGUUUAAUUCCCCCGUUACUGGAGGAGUGAAAAUAUGCUUAGCAAGCAUUUUAUUUGUGGACGGAAAUGACAGGAAAUGUGGGUUUAGAGGUGGCGAGCGCAUGAAGAGGCGGAGGAGGAUGAGAGACAAAUUUGUCUGUGUUAAAAAGUCUCUUAUAUACAAAAAACACAAUAUAAACACACUAUCUUGGACCGAUACGACAGGAUACCACAGAACAGCGCUACGCCCUCUGCUGUCCUGGAGGGGAAUUGCUUUGCAACACUCUCCAGCAGACGGAGAAGUAUGAGAGCAAAACGCUUCCGUCAAUCCGUGCGUGUCUGUCCCUUGCGGAGCUGACAGAGAAGCAUGAAACAGGCUUUAGUUGCCAUGAUGACAAUCCCCACCCCGAUAACCAAAGCAGUCCGCUCAGUGACCACUGAAUAUUUACUGCAGAGCCUGCAUUAUUAGCAUAAGAAUAUAACCGGAUUUUUUAAAAGUGUAUUAAUCAUUCCUUUUCCAUUAGCCUAUAAAGUUAAUUCAAUACAAAUUGCCUAUGUGAGGGUGUUUUUCAGUACAGCUGCAAAUGUUCCCAAAUAUUUCCAUUCAACCAAGUUCACCCAAAUGUCGAAACUGCCAAAAAUAUUGGUAAAAACCUAAAAAGAUUACGGCAAAAACUACAGGCUUUAAUUGGCAAGUUAAUUCAUGAACAUCUGGGAGAAAGAAAAGACAGAAAAUAUGUGGCAGUUGUGCCGGGAAAGGCUUCUUUCUGUGCAUUAGUGUGAUUGAUGAAUCAUUUUGUUUAAAUGAGUACAUUUUGUUCUCAUUCAAAGACACCUCUUGUUCUUUUAGAAAAUACUUUCUUUAUCCUCUAUAGUUCAGACACUGUAGCUAAAGCAUGCCUAGAGCCUUUGAGGUAUUCCAUUUAAAGUUCUUAAGAUUUAUCCUGAGUUGUUCUCAAACUCGUUGGUACAGGGCUGCCAACUUUUGAACAUUUCAAAGAGUGAGACGGGGUCAUGGGGUUGGGAGCGGACAAUUUGCCGACCUUUUGGGGGGGGGGG
Molecule: long non-coding RNA, 2363 nt
Filed under: Nothobranchius furzeri (turquoise killifish)
Lineage: Eukaryota; Metazoa; Chordata; Actinopteri; Cyprinodontiformes; Nothobranchiidae
Description: lncRNA (ENSNFUG00015002193.1)
Source: RNAcentral